UGGGGAAUCUUGGACAAUGGGCGCAAGCCUGAUCCAGCCAUGCCGCGUGAGUGAUGAAGGCCUUAGGGUUGUAAAGCUCUUUUUGCCGGGGACGAUAAUGACGGUACCCGGAGAAUAAGUCCCGGCUAACUUCGUGCCAGCAGCCGCGGUAAUACGAAGGGGACUAGCGUUGUUCGGAAUCACUGGGCGUAAAGCGCACGUAGGCGGAUUUGUAAGUCAGGGGUGAAAUCCCGGGGCUCAACCUCGGAACUGCCUUUGAUACUGCGGAUCUCGAGUCCGAUAGAGGUGAGUGGAAUUCCUAGUGUAGAGGUGAAAUUCGUAGAUAUUAGGAAGAACACCGGUGGCGAAGGCGGCUCACUGGAUCGGUACUGACGCUGAGGUGCGAAAGCGUGGGGAGCAAACAGGAUUAGAUACCCCGGUAGUCCCUGAGCGGGCUGGCAAGGCGCAU
This 448-nucleotide ribosomal RNA is filed under the name uncultured bacterium. RNAcentral's name for it is "bacterial SSU rRNA". It matches the Rfam family "Bacterial small subunit ribosomal RNA", at positions 355 to 825 of the family's 1533-position model. The record is from RNAcentral.